This 445-nucleotide ribosomal RNA is filed under the name uncultured Hyphomicrobiales bacterium. Its description in RNAcentral is "bacterial SSU rRNA". It matches the Rfam family "Bacterial small subunit ribosomal RNA", at positions 335 to 797 of the family's 1533-position model. Lineage: Bacteria; Pseudomonadati; Pseudomonadota; Alphaproteobacteria; Hyphomicrobiales. The record is from RNAcentral.
UGGCCUACGGGAGGCAGCAGUGGGGAAUCUUGGACAAUGGGGGCAACCCUGAUCCAGCCAUGCCGCGUGAGUGAAGAAGGUCUUCGGAUUGUAAAGCUCUUUUGCCAGGGACGAUAAUGACGGUACCUGGAGAAUAAGCCCCGGCAAACUUCGUGCCAGCAGCCGCGGUAAUACGAAGGGGGCUAGCGUUGUUCGGAAUUACUGGGCGUAAAGCGCACGUAGGCGGGUGGUUAAGUCAGGGGUGAAAUCCCGGGGCUCAACUCCGGAACUGCCUUUGAUACUGGCCAUCUAGAGAUCGGAAGAGGUGAGUGGAAUUCCCAGUGUAGAGGUGAAAUUCGUAGAUAUUGGGAAGAACACCGGUGGCGAAGGCGGCUCACUGGUCCGAUACUGACGCUGAGGUGCGAAAGCGUGGGGAGCAAACAGGAUUAGAUACCCCGGUAGUCUC